CCUGAACUUGGCCGUGUGACAGACUGGCUGCCUGGCUGUAGCAGCACGUAAAUAUUGGAGUCAAAGCACUUGCGAAUCCUCCAGUAUUGACCGUGCUGCUGGAGUUAGGCGGGCCGUUUACCGUCUGCGGGGGCCUCGGG
This is a microRNA precursor of Danio rerio (zebrafish), 140 nucleotides long. Ensembl annotates it as microRNA 16b. Its record names the gene mir16b. Lineage: Eukaryota; Metazoa; Chordata; Actinopteri; Cypriniformes; Danionidae. The record is from Ensembl.